CAGUAGCCACGGUAAUACGAAGGGUGCAAGCGUUAUCCGGAAUGAUUGGGCGUAAAGCGCACGCAGGCGGCUCGAUAAAUUAGAAGUGAAAGCCUCGGGCUUAACCUGAGAAUUGCUUUUAAGACUGUCGAGCUAGAAUCCAGAAGAGGGUAGUGGAAUUCCGAGUGUAGAGGUGAAAUUCGUAGAUAUUCGGAAGAACACCAGUGGCGAAGGCGACUACCUGGUCUGGCAUUGACGCUCAUGUGCGAAAGCGUGGGGAGCAAACAGGAUUAGAGACCCGCGUAGUCCCUGUCUCUUAUAC
This 301-nucleotide ribosomal RNA is filed under the name uncultured bacterium. RNAcentral describes it as "partial 16S ribosomal RNA". It matches the Rfam family "Bacterial small subunit ribosomal RNA", at positions 509 to 807 of the family's 1533-position model. The record is from RNAcentral.